GCUGGCGGCGUGCCUAAUACAUGCAAGUAGAACGCUGAAGCUUGGUGCUUGCACCAAGCGGAUGAGUUGCGAACGGGUGAGUAACGCGUAGGUAACCUGCCUGGUAGCGGGGGAUAACUAUUGGAAACGAUAGCUAAUACCGCAUAAAAUGGAUUAUCGCAUGAUAAUCAAUUGAAAGGUGCAAAUGCAUCACUACCAGAUGGACUGCGUUGUAUUAGCUAGUUGGUGGGGUAACGGCUCACCAAGGCAACGAUACAUAGCCGACCUGAGAGGGUGACCGGCCACACUGGGACUGAGACACGGCCCAGACUCCUACGGGAGGCAGCAGUAGGGAAUCUUCGGCAAUGGACGGAAGUCUGACCGAGCAACGCCGCGUGAGAGAA
Molecule: ribosomal RNA, 383 nt
Filed under: Streptococcus sp. oral taxon 070
Lineage: Bacteria; Bacillati; Bacillota; Bacilli; Lactobacillales; Streptococcaceae
Description: bacterial SSU rRNA
Rfam family: Bacterial small subunit ribosomal RNA
Source: RNAcentral